UACAGAGGGUGCAAGCGUUAAUCGGAAUUACUGGGCGUAAAGCGCGCGUAGGCGGCUGUCUAAGUCGGGUGUGAAAGCCCCGGGCUCAACCUGGGAACUGCAUUCGAUACUGGACGGCUAGAGUAUGAGAGAGGGAGGUAGAAUUCCACGUGUAGCGGUGAAAUGCGUAGAUAUGUGGAGGAACACCGGUGGCGAAGGCGGCUUCCUGGACCGACACUGACGCUGAGGCGCGAAAGCUAGGGGAGCAAACGGG
This 253-nucleotide ribosomal RNA is filed under the name uncultured bacterium. RNAcentral describes it as "partial 16S ribosomal RNA". It matches the Rfam family "Bacterial small subunit ribosomal RNA", at positions 524 to 776 of the family's 1533-position model. The record is from RNAcentral.